UGGGGAAUAUUGCACAAUGGGCGCAAGCCUGAUGCAGCAACGCCGCGUGAACGAUGAAGGUCUUCGGAUCGUAAAGCUCUGUUGCAGGGGAUGAUAAUGACGGUACCCUGUGAGGAAGCCCCGGCUAACUACGUGCCAGCAGCCGCGGUAAUACGUAGGUCCCUAGCGUUGUCCGGAUUUAUUGGGUGUAAAGCGAGCGCAGGCGGUUAGAAAAGUCUGAAGUGAAAGGCAGUGGCUCAACCAUUGUAGGCUUUGGAAACUGUUUAACUUGAGUGCAGAAGGGGAGAGUGGAAUUCCAUGUGUAGAGGUGAAAUGCGUAGAUAUAUGGAGGAACACCGGUGGCGAAAGCGGCUCUCUGGUCUGUAACUGACGCUGAGGCUCGAAAGCGUGGGGAGCGAACAGG
This 403-nucleotide ribosomal RNA is filed under the name Verrucomicrobiota bacterium. RNAcentral describes it as "Verrucomicrobia bacterium partial 16S ribosomal RNA". It matches the Rfam family "Bacterial small subunit ribosomal RNA", at positions 355 to 776 of the family's 1533-position model. Lineage: Bacteria; Pseudomonadati; Verrucomicrobiota. The record is from RNAcentral.